CCUGGCGGCCUUAGCCGGUGGUCCCACCUGACCCCAUGCCGAACUCAGAAGUGAAACGCCGUAGCGCCGAUGGUAGUGUGGGGUCUCCCCAUGCGAGAGUAGGGAACUGCCAGGC
This 115-nucleotide ribosomal RNA is filed under the name Escherichia coli. Lineage: Bacteria; Pseudomonadati; Pseudomonadota; Gammaproteobacteria; Enterobacterales; Enterobacteriaceae. The record is from RNAcentral.